AUGAUCCACAAGCAUAUAAAUUUUACUACUCGCCACAUAAGCAAAAUUCUUCUCAUUCGUAAUAGUGGGAGCAAAUUCAACAAAAUAACUAUCAUGGGAGGCAUAAUCCAAUUGAAAAUUAAAAUCAUGAUGACAAGUUUCAUGGAUAUCAUUACUCUUUAUAGUAUACAUGUCAUCACAAUAAUCAUCAUAGAUAGCAACUUGUUGGGAAACGUUGCAUGGAAAACAAAAAAAAUUCUACGCACACGCAAUGAUCUAUCCAUGGAGAUGCAUAGCAACGAGGGGGAGAGUGUGUUUAUGUACCCUCGUAGACCGUAA
RNAcentral lists this ribosomal RNA (318 nucleotides) under Triticum aestivum (bread wheat). Its description in RNAcentral is "partial small subunit ribosomal RNA". The record is from RNAcentral. Lineage: Eukaryota; Viridiplantae; Streptophyta; Magnoliopsida; Poales; Poaceae.